Gymnogyps californianus (California condor) is the source of this 208-nucleotide long non-coding RNA. RefSeq lists it as uncharacterized. NCBI's taxonomy places the organism in Eukaryota, Metazoa, Chordata, Aves, Accipitriformes, Cathartidae. The record is from RefSeq and is a predicted model, not a curated record. The transcript has 3 exons.
ACCGUGCAGGCAGCCUUUGGAAUUGGACGAGCACUCAAGGUGCCACAAGGGAUGACGGCCACAGCGUCCAACACUGGAAUUCCUGCGGAGCAGAUGAUGAAGAGGAACCUGGCAACUGCAGGAAUAUCCUGGUUUGCUGAUGUGGUUUUUGCUGAGGAUGGAUUCAGACCCCUGCCGUCUGACAGCUAAGUUGAGGGACCGGGGACCG